RNAcentral lists this ribosomal RNA (301 nucleotides) under uncultured bacterium. RNAcentral's name for it is "partial 16S ribosomal RNA". It matches the Rfam family "Bacterial small subunit ribosomal RNA", at positions 509 to 807 of the family's 1533-position model. The record is from RNAcentral.
CAGUAGCCGCGGGAAAACGAAGGGGGCUAGCGUUGCUCGGAAUGACUGGGCGUAAAGGGCGCGUAGGCGGUUUAUACAGUCAGAUGUGAAAUUCCUGGGCUCAACCUGGGGACUGCAUUUGAUACGUAUGGACUUGAGUGGAGAAGAGGGUCGUGGAAUUUCCAGUGUAGAGGUGAAAUUCGUAGAUAUUGGAAAGAACACCGGUGGCGAAGGCGGCGACCUGGUCUUUAACUGACGCUGAGGCGCGAAAGCGUGGGGAGCAAACAGGAUUAGAUACCCCGGUAGUCCCUGUCUCUUAUAC